CGCGGAGGGGCGGCGAGGCCUGCUCCAGCGCCGUCCCCUGCCCUCCCCCUCGCCUGCCUCCUAAACACCCUCGCACCGACCAUUGCAGAGGCUUCUUCGGUCGCCACUGCGCCAGUAUUUUUUUUUUUUUUUUUUUUUUUGUCGCUGGCGAACAGCCGGAGAAAGAGAUAGUCAGCAGCUCAUGGAGAGGCUGAGAGGAGUCGGGAGAGUAGCCUUCAGCGACUGGCCUCACCCGCUGGUUUUCCUUCGUUUUCAGUGAAAUCCCAUUUUCUGGCUGGAGUCACAGAUGGCCUCAAAUGAGAGAGAUGCUAUAUCGUGGUACCAAAAGAAGAUUGGAGCAUAUGAUCAGCAGAUAUGGGAAAAGUCAAUCGAACAGACUCAGAUUAAGGGCUUCAAAAACAAACCAAAAAAGAUGGGUCACAUAAAGCCAGACUUGAUUGAUGUUGACUUAAUCAGAGGCUCAACUUUUGCCAAAGCCAAACCUGAAAUUCCGUGGACAUCUCUGACUCGAAAGGGGCUUGUUCGAGUUGUUUUUUUCCCAUUGUUCAGCAACUGGUGGAUUCAGGUUACCUCUUUAAGAAUCUUUGUUUGGCUGCUACUGCUUUACCUCAUGCAAGUUAUAGCGAUUGUGUUAUAUUUAAUGAUGCCUAUUGUGAACGUAAGUGAAGUACUUGGACCCUUGUGCCUUAUGUUACUCAUGGGAACUGUCCACUGUCAAAUUGUGUCUACUCAGAUAACAAGGCCAUCUGCAAACAAUGGAAAUCGGAGAAGAAGAAAAUUACGGAAAACUGUAAAUGGUGAUGGAAGCCGAGAAAAUGGUAAUAAUAACUCCUCUGACAAAGUCAGAGGCAUAGAAACUUUGGAAUCUGCACCCAUUAUUGGUGGGGUUUGGCGCACUCUGUUUGGCAACAGGAUUAGAAGAGUGAAAUUAAUAUCUAACAAAGGGACUGAAACUGACAAUGACUCAAGUUGUCUACAUCCUAUCAUUAAGAAGAGACAGUGUCGACCAGAGCUUAGAAUGUGUCAAACAAGAGAGAAAACAAAAUUUUCAGAUGGAGAAAAGUGCCGUAGGGAGGCUUUUAGGCGUCUGGGGAAUGGAGUUUCAGACGAUCUGUCAAGUGAGGAGGACGGUGAAGCACAGACACAGAUGAUGCUGUUGCGUCGGAGCGUGGAAGGGGCCUCAAGUGACAAUGGUUGUGAAGUUAAGAACAGAAAAUCAAUACUUUCAAGGCACUUAAACUCUCAGGUAAAGAAAACCAGUGCAAGAUGGUAUCACAUUGUGCGGGACUCAGAUAGUUUGGCUGAAUCAGAAUUUGAAUCAGCAGCCUUCAGCCAGGGCUCUAGAUCUGGUGUGAAUGGCUGCUCUCAAAGCAUCAACCUGUCAAGAAGAGACUCAGAAAGCACCCGCCAUGACUCAGAGACUGAAGAUAUGCUGUGGGACGACCUGCUGCAUGGCCCAGAGUGCCGAUCGUCUGCCACCAGUGACAGUGAGGGGACCCACGUGAGCACUCUGCACUCAGGAACCAAACGUGACCCGAAAGAGGACGUUUUUCAGCAGAACCAUUUAUUCUGGCUUCAGAAUUCAAGUCCUGCCUCUGAUCGAGUCAGUGCAAUAAUCUGGGAAGGGAAUGAGUGUAAAAAGAUGGACAUGUCUGUGUUGGAGAUGAGUGGCAUCAUCAUGAGCAGGGUUAAUGCAUAUCAGCAAGGAGUAGGUUAUCAGAUGUUGGGAAAUGUUGUCACCAUUGGAUUAGCAUUUUUUCCUUUUUUACAUCGACUUUUCCAUGAGAAGAGCUUUGACCAACUGAAGUCCAUUUCAGCUGAGGAGAUCUUGACUCUCUUCUGUGGGGCACCUCCUGUUAUGCCUGUUAUUAUUUUGUCUAUAAUUAAUUUUUUUGAAAGAUUGUGUCUUACAUGGAUGUUUUUUUUCAUGAUGUGUGUGGCAGAGAGAACAUACAAACAGAGAUUUUUAUUUGCAAAACUCUUCAGCCAUAUUACUUCUGCCAGGAAAGCUAGGAAAUAUGAAAUACCUCAUUUUAGACUUAAAAAGGUGGAGAACAUUAAAAUAUGGUUAUCGCUGCGUUCCUAUCUGAAGGUUCUCCAAGGACAUAAGACUUUUCUGAAUGAUGCUUAUAACUGGGAGUUAUUGAUCUGGGAAACAGCUCUACUGCUUUUCUUACUGCGCCUGGCCUCACUGGGGUCAGAAACCAAUAAGAAGUACAGCAAUGUUUCAAUAUUACUCACUGAACAGAUUAAUUUAUAUCUUAAGAUGGAAAAGAAGCCAAAUAAGAAAGAACAGCUCACUCUGGUCAACAAUGUAUUAAAGCUGUCCACCAAGUUGUUAAAAGAGCUGGACACACCGUUCAGACUCUACGGGCUGACGAUGAAUCCCCUCAUCUACAACAUCACAAGAGUAGUCAUCCUCUCCGCUGUCUCAGGUGUUAUAAGUGACCUUCUAGGAUUUAAUAUAAGACUAUGGAAAAUUAAAUCAUAAGCUGCAUCAUACGCCUGGACUCUGGGCCCUGGCUGGCGUCAGUGUUUACCCAUGAAGGAGGAGGCUGCAGAACCAGUGAGCUGCCCACCUGCUGGUUCCCACGCACGGUGCUCUCAGCUCUGGCACACUGACGAGUCGUGUCUCCAGAGGAACAAGUCCUUUCCACUUGGGUGUGCAUGCUAAAAAGCCUGUGUUUUUGUGGCUGUCCAACAGUACAGUCAGCAGCCUCGAGACUGUGUUCUGGUAACACAAGAACCAUUUUCUGAGUUAGGGAAUGUAUUCUGGGCGCUUCAGUGCUCUGACAGUUGCAUUUACUGGAAGUGGUCUUCUGGAUGACUGUGGUAGAUGCCCAAAGCAUGAAGCAAAAUCUUUUCCUGGAAAUAUGCAAAUUCAGUACUUUUCUAUUAUACUCUAUGGAGUUAGAGAUUUCAUUUCCGUGUCAAAGACAGAGUGAAUAAAUUAUUUUAGGUUGAAUCUGAAUAAAAGAACUUUACUGGAAGUUUUUGAUUUCUAGGCUUUUGUUGAAAAAAACUCACUUAAACUGUGAAAUAAACUGAGAAAUUAUUAAUUAGCUUACCGUUUUUGUUCAGUGCUAAUAACUGUUAGCUGAGGUGACAGUCACCACAUGAUGCCUUGUUACUAAGCGUGAGAAACAACUACAGGCCUGCUCACACAUGGUGGUUUCCACAUGCAGGUCGUCUCGCUGUUUCCUGUCCCAUGCAUCAUGGGUAAUUUUAUUGUUUGCAACCUGGUGCACCAUCCCUCAGUUUCAGAGCCUCAGUGUGCGGUUGCUGGGCCACGCCUUUGUUGACGCGGGUUGUUUGCGUCCUCUUAUGCACACGUGCACAAUACAUCCUCUGCCGCCCUCAGCCUCGCCACUCGGCCUGAGCGGGGCCUGCCUGCUGGACCACAAACCCCCAGAGCUCUGAGCCGCAGAUGCCCGCCUUCAUUAGUAAGCUGGCUUGGACAUUUAGUAGUUGUAGCAGAACCUCACUGUCUCCCACCUCCUUCCUGCUGCCUGGAGUCUGGGAGCACAGUGAUGUUCCGAGCAUUUUCUGUCUUCAAUUUUGGAGGUUUUUGUUACUGCGCCUUCAGGUUCACUAAGCUCUUUCUCUACACUAAUUAGCUGUUAAUCUCAUCCAAUGUACUUUUCAUGUCUUAAAGUUUGAUUUUAGUCCUUUUAUGUCAUAACAUGCUUACUCUUUUCUAUACUUUAACAUAGUAAGUGUAUUUAUAAGAGGAGUAGUCAAUAAGAACAGUAAGACAGCUAUCUCAAUCAUUUUGGGGUCUGUUUUUAUUGAUGGGAUUUUCUCACCCUGGGUCUUAUCUUCCUGAGUUUUUGCAUGCCUGAUAAUUUUUUAUUGGCUAUGAACUUUGUGUUCUUAGGUGUUGGAUUCUGUGUGUAUUAUUUUGGUGGUCUUUUUUUUUUCUUAAAGGUUUAUUUAUUUGAAAGUUGGAGUUUCAGAGAAAGGGAGAACAGCUGGGACUCAAGUUGGUGCCCAUACUGGGGGGGCCAGUGCUGCAGACAGUGGCUGUACGUGCUACGCCACAGUACCGGCCCCGAUUUGGUGGUCUUUUAAAUGUUCUCAAGCUUCGGUUGCGAAGGCAGGGAAGCUAUGUGGAAACAGUUUGAUCAUUUUAAGGCUUGCUCGUAAGCUUUGGCCGGUGGGCCAGAGGCGUGUUCAGGGCUACUCUCCUGCUGUUCAGAGGAUUCCGUUUGAUGAUGCCCUGCGAAUUACCAGCUUUUUCUUUUUGGCUGUGGAAGGUGAACCAUUCCCAGUUCUGUGUAAACUUCAGGAGUUUUUCUGCUUGUGUUCUCUGUGACUCUUUCCCUCAUCGUGGGAUUUCCGCAUCUACUCAUGUUGAUCACUACUUGGCGGAGUAUGCAAGGAGCCCUGUGCACGACUUGGAGUUGUCACCUCACCAUGGCUGUCUUCUCUGUGGUGAUCCUCCUGCAAGUUCUAAACGUCCUGGUCCUCCAGAUUCCCCACCGUCUCCUCAACUCGUUACUGCUGCCACGCUGAGUGAUGAAGUUUGAGUUUCACAAGUGAGCGCUAACUCGAUACCUUUCCUGCGGCCUUACCUGGGCCUCUGAGCUGCACCAAGCUACUACUCCAGUGAACACGUGGUGUCCUUUAAGGACAAAAUAAACACCUGGUGCGUUUGCUAAUA
Non-coding RNA from Oryctolagus cuniculus (rabbit), 4663 nucleotides. The record is from RefSeq and is a predicted model, not a curated record. NCBI's taxonomy places the organism in Eukaryota, Metazoa, Chordata, Mammalia, Lagomorpha, Leporidae.